Molecule: ribosomal RNA, 253 nt
Filed under: uncultured bacterium
Lineage: Bacteria
Description: partial 16S ribosomal RNA
Rfam family: Bacterial small subunit ribosomal RNA
Source: RNAcentral
UACGUAGGGAGCAAGCGUUGUUCGGAUUUACUGGGCGUAAAGGGCGCGUAGGCGGCAAAUUAAGUCAGCUGUGAAAUCUCCGAGCUUAACUCGGAACGGUCAGCUGAUACUGAUCUGCUAGAGUGCGGAAGGGGCAAUCGGAAUUCUUGGUGUAGCGGUGAAAUUCGUAGAUAUUAAGAGGAACACCGGUGGCGAAGGCGGCUAUCUGGCACACAACUGACGCUGAGGCGCGAAAGCGUGGGGAUCAAACAGG